RNAcentral lists this ribosomal RNA (341 nucleotides) under Sphingobium sp. Ant17. Its description in RNAcentral is "bacterial SSU rRNA". It matches the Rfam family "Bacterial small subunit ribosomal RNA", at positions 1199 to 1533 of the family's 1533-position model. The record is from RNAcentral. Lineage: Bacteria; Pseudomonadati; Pseudomonadota; Alphaproteobacteria; Sphingomonadales; Sphingobiaceae.
CCUUUACGCGCUGGGCUACACACGUGCUACAAUGGCGACUACAGUGGGCUGCAACCGUGCGAGCGGUAGCUAAUCUCCAAAAGUCGUCUCAGUUCGGAUUGUUCUCUGCAACUCGAGAGCAUGAAGGCGGAAUCGCUAGUAAUCGCGGAUCAGCAUGCCGCGGUGAAUACGUUCCCAGGCCUUGUACACACCGCCCGUCACACCAUGGGAUUUGGAUUCACCCGAAGGCACUGCGCUAACUCGCAAGAGAGGCAGGUGACCACGGUGGGUUUAGAGACUGGGGUGAAGUCGUAACAAGGUAGCCGUAGGGGAACCUGCGGCUGGAUCACCUCCUUUCUAAG